UAAGAAUCUUCCGCAAUGGGCGAAAGCCUGACGGAGCGAUGCCGCGUGAUCGAUGAAGGUCGAGAGAUUGUAAAGAUCUUUUCCACAUGAGGAAUAACCAUCGGAGGGAAUGCCGGUGGGAUGACGUUAGUGUGGGAAUAAGCCCCGGCUAAUUACGUGCCAGCAGCCGCGGUAACACGUAAGGGGCGAGCGUUGUUCGGAAUUAUUGGGCGUAAAGGGCACGCAGGCGGUUAUACAAGUCCGAUGUUAAAGACCUGGGCUCAACUCAGGGAAUGCGUUGGAAACUGUAUGACUAGAGUAUUAGAGGGGGAGUCGGAAUUCCUAGUGUAGGGGUGAAAUCUGUUGAUAUUAGGAAGAACACCGGUGGCGAAGGCGGACUCCUGGCUGAAUACUGACGCUGAGGUGCGAAAGCAUAGGGAGCAAAC
This 425-nucleotide ribosomal RNA is filed under the name uncultured bacterium. RNAcentral describes it as "bacterial SSU rRNA". It matches the Rfam family "Bacterial small subunit ribosomal RNA", at positions 356 to 773 of the family's 1533-position model. The record is from RNAcentral.